This 113-nucleotide ribosomal RNA is filed under the name uncultured bacterium. RNAcentral describes it as "partial 16S ribosomal RNA". It matches the Rfam family "Bacterial small subunit ribosomal RNA", at positions 392 to 508 of the family's 1533-position model. The record is from RNAcentral.
CGACGCCGCGUGGGGAUGAAGCUUUUCGGAGUGUAAACCCCUUUCGACCCGGUACGAAACGCCCGGCAAGGGCUUGACGGUACGGGUAUAAGAAGCCCCGGCUAACUACGUGC